Molecule: long non-coding RNA, 386 nt
Organism: Chinchilla lanigera (long-tailed chinchilla)
Lineage: Eukaryota; Metazoa; Chordata; Mammalia; Rodentia; Chinchillidae
Exons: 2
Source: RefSeq, a predicted model, not a curated record
GCUUGUUUCCUCAGAAGCAUGAGGACACCAAAAUGACCAGGGGUAAAUGGAACUAAGACUUCCAAGCCAGCAGAACAUAAGGUCGUGGGGACAGAAAGCAAGUGGAUCACUGGGGGUGAUGACUCUAAAAUGGGGAUGUGGUUGUCUUGGACUCAGGCCAACAGCUUUCUCCAAAUUGAAGAGAGGUGAGCUGGAGGAAGGCCAGGUCCCUGUGGAUGUGCCACACUACCUGCAUGGGUCCCUGGGACGCACAUGCUGAACAGGCCCACCCUGGACACUCUCCCCAUAUCCCUGUGACGUGGUCCUGUAUUCCACAUCCUCAGUUAAAUGUUUCUCCUCGAGGGGCUCCCCGCUCACCCCUUUAAAUAAAUCACAGUCCUUCCCCA